This 89-nucleotide transfer RNA is filed under the name Coniochaeta ligniaria NRRL 30616. It matches the Rfam family "tRNA". Rfam says of the family: Transfer RNA (tRNA) molecules are approximately 80 nucleotides in length. Their secondary structure includes four short double-helical elements and three loops (D, anti-codon, and T loops). The record is from Rfam by way of RNAcentral. Lineage: Eukaryota; Fungi; Ascomycota; Sordariomycetes; Coniochaetales; Coniochaetaceae.
GCGGGUUUAGCUCAGUUGGGAGAGCGUCAGACUGAAGUCCACUUCAUCAUUAAAUCUGAAGGUCGUGUGUUCGAUCCACACAAACCGCA